Molecule: non-coding RNA, 1016 nt
Organism: Castor canadensis (American beaver)
Lineage: Eukaryota; Metazoa; Chordata; Mammalia; Rodentia; Castoridae
Source: RefSeq, a predicted model, not a curated record
AUGCUAGUUAAACAGGUGCUCUACCACCUGAGCACUCCACCAGCCCUUUAUGGCUAUUUCUUAAUCAGUGCUUACAAAGAUGGUAAACCCAUGUUAAUGCCAGGGAAAUACUGGAGACUGCAUUGGAACAUUUUCGGGUUAUAAAGGUGAUGUUUGGGGGUGCAACAUUGAAUAAGGAUACCACCAAAGUCGAUACAGCAGUCACAGAUUUCACAGCCAAAGUGUGGGAUGCUGUCUCAGGAGAUAGAUUGAUAACCCUGGCUUAUAAACAUUGUCAAGACGGUGGAUUUUAUGCAGGAUAGUAAUUAUUUGUUAACUGGGGGACAGAAUAGACUGUUACACAUAUAUGACUUGAAUAAACCUGAAGCAGAGCCUAAGGAAAGCAGUGCUUACAAUUCUGGUUUUAAAAAGGCUUUAUGGUGCAGUGAGGAUAAGCAGAUUCUUUUAGCUGAUUAUAAAACGGUUUGCCUUUGGGAUCAGGCUACUAUGACAGAAGUGAAAUCUCUAAAUUUUAAUAUAUCUGUUAGCAGUAUGGAAUGUAUUCCUGUGGGUGAGAUCCUGGUUAUUACUUAGGGAUGAUCUGUUGCUUUUCGUAGUGUAAUAAAUUUGGAUCCACUUAGAUCUUUUGAAGCUCCUGCAUCCGUCAAUUCUGCAUCUCUUGAUCCUGAGAAUUCCUUGCUGCAGGUGGUGAACAUCUUAAACUUUAUAAGCAUGAUUGUAAUAGUGGGGAAGAAUUAGAAUCCUACAAAGGACAUUUUGGUCCCAUUCACUGUGUGAGAUUUAGUCCUGAUGGAGAACUCUAUGCCAGUGGUUCUGAAGAUGGAAUAUUGAGAUUAUGGUAAACUGUGGUAGGAAAAACCUAUGGCCUUCAGAAAUGUGUGCUUCUUGAAGAAGAUAGUGGUGAGCUGACAAAGCCAAAGAACAGUUUUCCGGAGACAAUAGAAGAGGAGCCAGAAGAAAUUGCUUUUGAGAAUUCAGGUUCCAUCUAGUCUUCAACUCCUGAAGUUAGGGCCUGA